AGCGGCGGACGGGUUAGUAACGCGUGGGAAUAUACCCAGUUCUAAGGAAUAGCCACUGGAAACGGUGAGUAAUACCUUAUACGCCCUUCGGGGGAAAGAUUUAUCGGAAUUGGAUUAGCCCGCGUUAGAUUAGAUAGUUGGUGGGGUAAUGGCCUACCAAGUCUACGAUCUAUAGCUGGUUUGAGAGGAUGAUCAGCAACACUGGGACCGAGACACGGCCCAGACUCCUACGGGAGGCAGCAGUGGGGAAUUUUAGACAAUGGGCGAAAGCCUGAUCUAGCCAUGCCGCGUGAGUGAUGAAGGCCCUAGGGUCGUAAAGCUCUUUCAACUGUGAAGAUAAUGACGGUAGCAGUAGAAGAAACCCCGGCUAACUCCGUGCCAGCAGCCGCGGUAAUACGGAGGGGGUUAGCGUUGUUCGGAAUUACUGGGCGUAAAGCGUACGUAGGCGGAUUAAUAAGUUAGAGGUGAAAUCCCAGGGCUCAACCCUGGAACUGCCUUUAAAACUGUUAGUCUUGAGAUCGAGAGAGGUGAGUGGAAUUCCAAGUGUAGAGGUGAAAUUCGUAGAUAUUUGGAGGAACACCAGUGGCGAAGGCGGCUCACUGGCUCGAUACUGACGCUGAGGUACGAAAGUGUGGGGAGCAAACAGGAUUAGAUACCCUGGUAGUCCACACCGUAAACGAUGAAUGCCAGACGUCAGCAAGCAUGCUUGUUGGUGUCACACCUAACGGAUUAAGCAUCCGCCUGGG
This 746-nucleotide ribosomal RNA is filed under the name uncultured Alphaproteobacteria bacterium. RNAcentral describes it as "bacterial SSU rRNA". It matches the Rfam family "Bacterial small subunit ribosomal RNA", at positions 94 to 877 of the family's 1533-position model. The record is from RNAcentral. Lineage: Bacteria; Pseudomonadati; Pseudomonadota; Alphaproteobacteria.